CCUACGGGAGGCAGCAGUGGGGAAUAUUGCACAAUGGGGGAAACCCUGAUGCAGCGACGCCGCGUGAGUGAUGAAGUAUUUCGGUAUGUAAAGCUCUAUCAGCCGGGAAGAUAAUGACGGUACCUGACUAAGAAGCUCCGGCUACAUACGUGCCAGCAGCCGCGGUAAUACGGAUGGAGCAAGCGUUAUCCGGAUUUACUGGGUGUAAAGGGAGCGCAGACGGCAGGGCAAGUCUGAUGUGAAAGUCCGGGGCCCCACCCCGGGACUGCCGUGGAAACUGUCCGGCUAGAGUGGAGGAGAGGUAAGUGGAAUUCCUAGUGUAGCGGUGAAAUGCGUAGAUAUCGGGAGGAACACCAGUUGCGAAGGCGGCUUACCGGACUGUAACUGACGUUGAGGCUCGAAAGCGUGGGGAGCAAACAGGAUUAGAUACCCCAGUAGUC
This 440-nucleotide ribosomal RNA is filed under the name uncultured bacterium. RNAcentral describes it as "partial 16S ribosomal RNA". It matches the Rfam family "Bacterial small subunit ribosomal RNA", at positions 338 to 795 of the family's 1533-position model. The record is from RNAcentral.